RNAcentral lists this ribosomal RNA (815 nucleotides) under uncultured bacterium. RNAcentral describes it as "bacterial SSU rRNA". It matches the Rfam family "Bacterial small subunit ribosomal RNA", at positions 636 to 1450 of the family's 1533-position model. The record is from RNAcentral.
UNUGACUUGAGUGCAGAAGGGGAGAGUGGAAUUCCAUGUGUAGCGGUGAAAUGCGUAGAUAUAUGGAGGAACACCAGUGGCGAAAGCGGCUCUCUGNUCUGUCACUGACGCUGAGGCUCGAAAGCGUGGGUAGCGAACAGGAUUAGAUACCCUGGUAGUCCACGCCGUAAACGAUGAGUGCUAGGUGUUAGGCCCUUUCCGGGGCUUAGUGCCGGAGCUAACGCAAUAAGCACUCCGCCUGGGGAGUACGACCGCAAGGUUGAAACUCAAAGGAAUUGACGGGGGCCCGCACAAGCGGUGGAGCAUGUGGUUUAAUUCGAAGCAACGCGAAGAACCUUACCAGGUCUUGACAUCCCGAUGCUAUUCUUAGAGAUAGGAAGUUACUUCGGUACAUCGGAGACAGGUGGUGCAUGGUUGUCGUCAGCUCGUGUCGUGAGGUGUUGGGUUAAGUCCCGCAACGAGCGCAACCCUUAUUGUUAGUUGCCAUCAUUAAGUUGGGCACUCUAGCGAGACUGCCGGUAAUAAACCGGAGGAAGGUGGGGAUGACGUCAAAUCAUCAUGCCCCUUAUGACCUGGGCUACACACGUGCUACAAUGGUCGGUACAACGAGUUGCGAGCCGGUGACGGCAAGCUAAUCUCUGAAAGCCGAUCUCAGUUCGGAUUGGAGGCUGCAACUCGCCUCCAUGAAGUCGGAAUCGCUAGUAAUCGCGGAUCAGCACGCCGCGGUGAAUACGUUCCCGGGCCUUGUACACACCGCCCGUCACACCACGAGAGUUUGUAACACCCGAAGUCGGUGAGGUAACCUUUUAGGGGCC